RNAcentral lists this ribosomal RNA (468 nucleotides) under uncultured bacterium. Its description in RNAcentral is "partial 16S ribosomal RNA". It matches the Rfam family "Bacterial small subunit ribosomal RNA", at positions 28 to 507 of the family's 1533-position model. The record is from RNAcentral.
GACGAACGCUGGCGGCGUGCUUAACACAUGCAAGUCGAACGGAAAGGCCCUGCUUUUGUGGGGUGCUCGAGUGGCGAACGGGUGAGUAACACGUGAGUAACCUGCCCUUGACUUUGGGAUAACUUCAGGAAACUGGGGCUAAUACCGGAUAGGAGCUCCUGCUGCAUGGUGUGGGUUGGAAAGUUUCGGCGGUUGGGGAUGGACUCGCGGCUUAUCAGCUUGUUGGUGGGGUAGUGGCUUACCAAGGCUUUGACGGGUAGCCGGCCUGAGAGGGUGACCGGCCACAUUGGGCCUGAGAUACGGCGCAGACUCGUACGGGAGGCAGCAGUGGGGAAUAUUGCACAAUGGGCGGAAGCCUGAUGCAGAAACGCCGCGUGCGGGAUGACGGCCUUCGGGUUGUAAACCGCUUUCGCCUGUGACGAAGCGUGAGUGACGGUAAUGGGUAAAGAAGCACCGGCUAACUACGUG